This 837-nucleotide ribosomal RNA is filed under the name uncultured bacterium. RNAcentral's name for it is "bacterial SSU rRNA". It matches the Rfam family "Bacterial small subunit ribosomal RNA", at positions 48 to 885 of the family's 1533-position model. The record is from RNAcentral.
GCUACACAUGCAGUCGAGGGGUAACAGAGAAGCUUGCUUCUGCUGACGACCGGCGCACGGGUGCGUAACGCGUAUGCAACCUACCUCAUACUGGAGAAUAGCCCUUGGAAACGAGGAUUAAUACUCCAUGGUAUCAUUCUUUCGCAUGUUAGAAUGAUUAAAGAAUUUCGGUAUGAGAUGGGCAUGCGUCCCAUUAGCUUGUUGGUGAGGUAACGGCUCACCAAGGCAACGAUGGGUAGGGGGCCUGAGAGGGUGGUCCCCCACACUGGUACUGAGACACGGACCAGACUCCUACGGGAGGCAGCAGUGAGGAAUAUUGGUCAAUGGAGGCAACUCUGAACCAGCCAUGCCGCGUGAAGGAUGACGGCCCUAUGGGUUGUAAACUUCUUUUAUAUGGGAAGAAACUUAUCUACGUGUAGAUAACUGACGGUACCAUACGAAUAAGGAUCGGCUAACUCCGUGCCAGCAGCCGCGGUAAUACGGAGGAUCCAAGCGUUAUCCGGAUUCAUUGGGUUUAAAGGGUCCGUAGGCGGAUUUUUAAGUCAGUGGUGAAAGCCGACAGCUCAACUGUCGAACUGCCAUUGAUACUGGAAAUCUUGAGUACAAAUGAAGUAGGCGGAAUGAGUCAUGUAGCGGUGAAAUGCAUAGAUAUGACUCAGAACACCGAUUGCGAAGGCAGCUUACUAACAUGUAACUGACGCUGANGGACGAAAGCGUGGGGAGCGAACAGGAUUAGAUACCCUGGUAGUCCACGCCGUAAACGAUCAUCACUCGCUGUUGGCGAUAUACUGUCAGCGGCCAAGCGAAAGUAUUAAGUGAUGCAMCUGGGGAGUACGC